AGCAGCCGCGGUAAUUCCAGCUCCAAUAGCGUAUAUUAAAGUUGUUGCAGUUAAAAAGCUCGUAGUUGAAUUUCGGGGUUAGUAGGUUGGUCAUGCCUCUGGUAUGUACUGGUCUCACUGAUUCCUCCUUCCUGAUGAGCCGUAAUGCCAUUAAUUUGGUGUUGCGGGGAAUUUGGACUGUUACUUUGAAAAAAUUAGAGUGUUUAAAGCAAGCUAACGCUUGAAUACAUUAGCAUGGAAUAAUGAAAUAGGACGUUCGAUCCUAUUUUGUUGGUUUCUAGGAUUGACGUAAUGAUUAAUAGGGAUAGUUGGGGGCAUUAAUAUUCAAUUGUCAGAGGUGAAAUUCUUGGAUUUAUUGAAGACUAACUACUGCGAAAGCAUUUGCCAAGGAUGUUUUCAUUAAUCAAGAACGAAAGUUAGGGGAUCGAAGACAAUCAGAUACCGCCGUAGUCUUAACCAUAAACUAUGCCGACUAGGGAUCGGAUGAUGUUAAUUUUUUAAUGACUCAUUCGGCGCCGUACG
This 522-nucleotide ribosomal RNA is filed under the name uncultured Glomeromycotina. Its description in RNAcentral is "SSU rRNA". It matches the Rfam family "Eukaryotic small subunit ribosomal RNA", at positions 569 to 1092 of the family's 1831-position model. The record is from RNAcentral. Lineage: Eukaryota; Fungi; Glomeromycota.